GCCAGGCACAGUGGCACAUACCUGUAAUCCCAGCUACUCAAGAGGCUGAGGCGGGAGGAGUUCUGGGCUGUAGUGUGCUAUGCCAAUCAGGUGUCCACACUAAGUCUGGCAUCAGUAUGGUGACCUCCAGGCAGUGGGGUACCACCAGGUUGCCUGAGGAGAGUGAACUGGCCCAGGUCAGAGAUGGAGCAGGUGAAAACGGUGAUGAUCAGUAGUGGACUUGUGUCUGUGAACAGCCACUACACUCCAGUCUUGGGAACAUAGCAAGACCUGGUCUCU
Molecule: signal recognition particle RNA, 279 nt
Filed under: Propithecus coquereli (Coquerel's sifaka)
Lineage: Eukaryota; Metazoa; Chordata; Mammalia; Primates; Indriidae
Description: Metazoan signal recognition particle RNA (ENSPCOG00000002705.1)
Rfam family: Metazoan signal recognition particle RNA
About the family: The signal recognition particle (SRP) is a universally conserved ribonucleoprotein. It is involved in the co-translational targeting of proteins to membranes.
Source: RNAcentral